UACGGAGGGUGCAAGCGUUAUCCGGAAUCACUGGGUUUAAAGGGUGCGUAGGCGGUCAGAUAAGUCAGUUGUGAAAUACCCCGGCUUAACCGGUGGAACUGCGAUUGAUACUGUUUGACUUGAAUCAGGUUGAGGUAGGCGGAAUGUGGCAUGUAGCGGUGAAAUGCUUAGAUAUGCCAUAGAACACCGAUUGCGAAGGCAGCUUGCUGGACCUGUAUUGACGCUGAGGCACGAAAGCGUGGGGAGCAAACAGG
Molecule: ribosomal RNA, 254 nt
Filed under: uncultured bacterium
Lineage: Bacteria
Description: partial 16S ribosomal RNA
Rfam family: Bacterial small subunit ribosomal RNA
Source: RNAcentral